Molecule: ribosomal RNA, 440 nt
Filed under: uncultured bacterium
Lineage: Bacteria
Description: partial 16S ribosomal RNA
Rfam family: Bacterial small subunit ribosomal RNA
Source: RNAcentral
CCUACGGGUGGCAGCAGUGGGGAAUAUUGGACAAUGGGGGGAACCCUGAUCCAGCGACGCCGCGUGAGUGAAGAAGUGUUUCGGUAUGUAAAGCUCUAUCAGCAGGGAAGAAAAUGACGGUACCUGACUAAGAAGCCCCGGCUAACUACGUGCCAGCAGCCGCGGUAAUACGUAGGGGGCAAGCGUUAUCCGGAUUUACUGGGUGUAAAGGGGGCGUAGACGGCAGCACAAGUCUGGAGGGAAAUGCCGGGGCUUAACCCCGGAACUGCUUUGGAAACUGUGCAGCUAGAGUGCAGGAGAGGUAAGUGGAAUUCCUAGUGUAGCGGUGAAAUGCGUAGAUAUUAGGAGGAACACCAGUGGCGAAGGCGGCUUACUGGACUGUAACUGACGUUGAGGCUCGAAAGCGUGGGGAGCAAACAGGAUUAGAUACCCGUGUAGUC